This 433-nucleotide ribosomal RNA is filed under the name uncultured Anaerostipes sp. Its description in RNAcentral is "partial 16S ribosomal RNA". It matches the Rfam family "Bacterial small subunit ribosomal RNA", at positions 341 to 792 of the family's 1533-position model. The record is from RNAcentral. Lineage: Bacteria; Bacillati; Bacillota; Clostridia; Lachnospirales; Lachnospiraceae.
ACGGGAGGCAGCAGUGGGGGAUAUUGCACAAUGGGGGAAACCCUGAUGCAGCGACGCCGCGUGAGUGAUGAAGUAUUUCGGUAUGUAAAGCUCUAUCAGCAGGGAAGAAAAUGACGGUACCUGACUAAGAAGCCCCGGCUAACUACGUGCCAGCAGCCGCGGUAAUACGUAGGAUCCGAGCGUUAUCCGGAUUUAUUGGGUUUAAAGGGUGCGCAGGCGGCUUUCUAAGUCAGUGGUCAAAUCGUGGUGCUCAACGCCAUCCCGCCAUUGAUACUGGAGAGCUUGAUUGCGGUCGAGGUUUGCGGAAUUCGUCGUGUAGCGGUGAAAUGCAUAGAUAUGACGAAGAACACCGAUUGCGUAGGCAGCAGACCAGGCCGUAAAUGACGCUCAUGCACGAAAGUGCGGGGAUCGAACAGGAUUAGAUACCCUGGUA